This 771-nucleotide ribosomal RNA is filed under the name Curtobacterium luteum. Its description in RNAcentral is "bacterial SSU rRNA". It matches the Rfam family "Bacterial small subunit ribosomal RNA", at positions 674 to 1443 of the family's 1533-position model. The record is from RNAcentral. Lineage: Bacteria; Bacillati; Actinomycetota; Actinomycetes; Micrococcales; Microbacteriaceae.
UGUAGCGGUGGAAUGCGCAGAUAUCAGGAGGAACACCGAUGGCGAAGGCAGAUCUCUGGGCCGUAACUGACGCUGAGGAGCGAAAGCGUGGGGAGCGAACAGGAUUAGAUACCCUGGUAGUCCACGCCGUAAACGUUGGGCGCUAGAUGUAGGGACCUUUCCACGGUUUCUGUGUCGUAGCUAACGCAUUAAGCGCCCCGCCUGGGGAGUACGGCCGCAAGGCUAAAACUCAAAGGAAUUGACGGGGGCCCGCACAAGCGGCGGAGCAUGCGGAUUAAUUCGAUGCAACGCGAAGAACCUUACCAAGGCUUGACAUACACCGGAAACGGCCAGAGAUGGUCGCCCCCUUGUGGUCGGUGUACAGGUGGUGCAUGGUUGUCGUCAGCUCGUGUCGUGAGAUGUUGGGUUAAGUCCCGCAACGAGCGCAACCCUCGUUCUAUGUUGCCAGCGCGUUAUGGCGGGGACUCAUAGGAGACUGCCGGGGUCAACUCGGAGGAAGGUGGGGAUGACGUCAAAUCAUCAUGCCCCUUAUGUCUUGGGCUUCACGCAUGCUACAAUGGCCGGUACAAAGGGCUGCGAUACCGUAAGGUGGAGCGAAUCCCAAAAAGCCGGUCUCAGUUCGGAUUGAGGUCUGCAACUCGACCUCAUGAAGUCGGAGUCGCUAGUAAUCGCAGAUCAGCAACGCUGCGGUGAAUACGUUCCCGGGCCUUGUACACACCGCCCGUCAAGUCAUGAAAGUCGGUAACACCCGAAGCCGGUGGCCUAACCCUU